GUCGAGAAUCUUUCACAAUGGGGGCAACCCUGAUGGAGCGACGCCGCGUGGAGGAUAAGGUCUUCGGAUUGUAAACUCCUGUCAUGCGUGAACAAGGUUGCUUGGUUAAUACCUGGGCAAAUUGAUGGUAACGCAAGAGGAAGAGACGGCUAACUCUGUGCCAGCAGCCGCGGUAAUACAGAGGUCUCAAGCGUUGUUCGGAAUCACUGGGCGUAAAGGGUGCGUAGGUGGCGUGGUAAGUCAGAUGUGAAAGCCCGGGGCUCAACCUCGGAACUGCAUCCGAUACUGCCAUGCUAGAGUACUGGAGAGGUGACUAGAAUUCUCGGUGUAGCAGUGAAAUGCGUAGAUAUCGAGAGGAAUACCAAAGGCGUAGGCAGGUCACUGGACAGUUACUGACACUGAGGCACGAAGGCCAGGGGAGCGAACGGGAUUAGUUACCCGGGUAGUCC
RNAcentral lists this ribosomal RNA (449 nucleotides) under uncultured bacterium. Its description in RNAcentral is "partial 16S ribosomal RNA". It matches the Rfam family "Bacterial small subunit ribosomal RNA", at positions 354 to 796 of the family's 1533-position model. The record is from RNAcentral.